GAUGAACGCUGGCGGCGUGCCUAAUACAUGCAAGUCGAGCGAACGGACGAGAAGCUUGCUUUUCUGAUGUUAGCGGCGGACGGGUGAGUAACACGUGGAUAACCUACCUAUAAGACUGGGAUAACUUCGGGAAACCGGAGCUAAUACCGGAUAAUAUUUUGUACCGCAUGGUUCAAAAGUGAAAGACGGUCUUGCUGUCACUUAUAGAUGGAUCCGCGCUGCAUUAGCUAGUUGGUAAGGUAACGGCUUACCAAGGCAACGAUGCAUAGCCGACCUGAUAGGGUGAUCGGCCACACUGGAACUGAGACACGGUCCAGACUCCUACGGGAGGCAGCAGUAGGGAAUCUUCCGCAAUGGGCGAAAGCCUGACGGAGCAACGCCGCGUGAGUGAUGAAGGUCUUCGGAUCGUAAAACUCUGUUAUUAGGGAAGAACAUAUGUGUAAGUAACUGUGCACAUCUUGACGGUACCUAAUCAGAAAGCCACGGCUAACUACGUG
RNAcentral lists this ribosomal RNA (497 nucleotides) under uncultured bacterium. Its description in RNAcentral is "partial 16S ribosomal RNA". It matches the Rfam family "Bacterial small subunit ribosomal RNA", at positions 28 to 507 of the family's 1533-position model. The record is from RNAcentral.